Molecule: non-coding RNA, 30 nt
Filed under: Homo sapiens (human)
Lineage: Eukaryota; Metazoa; Chordata; Mammalia; Primates; Hominidae
Source: RNAcentral
UGGUGUGCUAUUUGGUAGACGAGUUUGGGU